RNAcentral lists this ribosomal RNA (253 nucleotides) under uncultured prokaryote. RNAcentral describes it as "partial 16S ribosomal RNA". It matches the Rfam family "Bacterial small subunit ribosomal RNA", at positions 524 to 775 of the family's 1533-position model. The record is from RNAcentral.
UACGGAGGAUCCGAGCGUUAUCCGGAUUUAUUGGGUUUAAAGGGUGCGCAGGCGGGAGACUCAGUCGGUGGUGAAAUCUUGCAGCUCAACUGUAAGCGUGCCAUUGAUACUGGUUUUCUUGAGUGUGGAUGAAGUAGGCGGAAUUUGUGGUGUAGCGGUGAGAUGCAUAGAUAUCACGAGGAACUCCGAUUGCGUAGACAGCUUACUAAAACCAUAACUGACGCUCAUGCACGAAGGCGUGGGGAGUCAAACA